GACGAACGCUGGCGGCGUGCUUAACACAUGCAAGUCGAACGGGCCUUGUCCCCUUUUUUUUGGGGGUGGGGUUAGUGGCGAACGGGUGAGUAACACGUGAGUAACCUGCCCCUCACUUCUGGAUAACCGCUUGAAAGGGUGGCUAAUACGGGGUGUUCUGGCCUGCUCGCAUGGGUGGGUUUGGAAAGAUUCGACCGGUUUUGGUUGUUUUGGUGGGGGAUGGGCUCGCGGCCUAUCAGCUUGUUGGUGGGGUGAUGGCCUGCCAAGGCUUUGACGGGUAGCCGGCCUGAGAGGGUGGGCGGUCACACUGGGAAUGAGACACGGCCCAGACUCCUACGGGAGGCAGAAGUGGGGAAUAGUGCACAAUGGGCGCAAGCCUGAUGCAGCGACGCCGCGUGAGGGAUGGAGGCCUUCGGGUUGUGAACCUCUUUCGCCAGUGAAGAAGGUCCUGCUCUUUGUGGUGGGGUUGACGGUAGCGGGGUUAAUGAAGCGCCGGCUAACUACGUG
This 507-nucleotide ribosomal RNA is filed under the name uncultured bacterium. RNAcentral describes it as "partial 16S ribosomal RNA". It matches the Rfam family "Bacterial small subunit ribosomal RNA", at positions 28 to 507 of the family's 1533-position model. The record is from RNAcentral.